RNAcentral lists this ribosomal RNA (829 nucleotides) under uncultured Pseudomonadota bacterium. RNAcentral describes it as "bacterial SSU rRNA". It matches the Rfam family "Bacterial small subunit ribosomal RNA", at positions 62 to 867 of the family's 1533-position model. Lineage: Bacteria; Pseudomonadati; Pseudomonadota. The record is from RNAcentral.
UCGAACGCGAAAGUCCCCUUCGGGGGAUAAGUAGAGUGGCGUCCGGGUGAGUAACACGUAGGUAAUCUACCUUCGGGUGGGGAAUAACCCAGGGAAACUUGGGCUAAUACCGCAUAAUGCAGCGGCACCACAUGGUGACAGUUGUUAAAGCGGGGGAUCUUCGGAUCUCGCGCCUGAAGAGGAGCCUGCGGCAGAUUAGCUAGUUGGUAGGGUAACGGCUUACCAAGGCGACGAUCUGUAGCCGGCCUGAGAGGGCGGUCGGCCACACUGACACUGACAUACGGGUCAGACUCCUACGGGAGGCAGCAGUCGGGAAUUUUGGGCAAUGGGCGAAAGCCUGACCCAGCAACGCCGCGUGAAGGAUGAAAUCCUUCGGGAUGUAAACUUCGCAAGAAUGGGAAGAAUUAGUAGGGGCUAAUACCCUCUAUGAUGACGGUACCAUUUGUAAGCUCCGGCUAACUCCGUGCCAGCAGCCGCGGUAAUACGGGGGGAGCAAGCGUUGUUCGGAUUUACUGGGCGUAAAGGGCGCGUAGGCGGUCAGCACAAGUCAGUUGUGAAAUCUCCGGGCUUAACUCGGAAAGGUCAACUGAUACUGUGCGACUAGAGUGCGGAAGGGGCAACUGGAAUUCUCGGUGUAGCGGUGAAAUGCGUAGAUAUCGAGAGGAACACCUGCGGCGAAGGCGGGUUGCUGGGCCGACACUGACGCUGAUGCGCGAAAGCCAGGGGAGCGAACGGGAUUAGAUACCCCGGUAGUCCUGGCCUUAAACGAUGGAUGCUUGGUGUCUGGAGUUUUAUAGUCUCCGGGUGCCGUAGCUAACGCGUUAAGCAU